This 433-nucleotide ribosomal RNA is filed under the name uncultured bacterium. RNAcentral's name for it is "partial 16S ribosomal RNA". It matches the Rfam family "Bacterial small subunit ribosomal RNA", at positions 29 to 507 of the family's 1533-position model. The record is from RNAcentral.
AACGAACGCUGGCGGCAUGCCUAACACAUGCAAGUCGAGCGAGACCUUCGGGUCUAUUCGCGCCCGGUUUCGUAAGGGGUGGGGACCUUCACUUAGGGUCGGACUAACUCCCAGAAAGGGGUACUAAUACCAGAUAGUGUCUUCUAACGAAAGAUUUAUCGCCUUUGGUUGGGCCCGAGUUGGAUUCGCUAGUUGUUAGGGUAAAAGCCUACCAAGGCGAGGAUCCAUAACUGGUCAGAGAGGCUGCUCAGCCACACUGGGACUGGGACACGGCCGAGAAUCCUCCGGGAUGCAGCAGUGGGGAAUAUUGGACAAUGGGCGAAAGGAUGAUGCAGCACUGCCGGGAGAGUGAUGAAGGCCUUAGGGUUGUAAAGCGUUUUUAACCGGGAUGAUAAUGACAGUACCGGGAGAAUAAGCUCCGGCUAACUCCGUG